AGAGCCAAUGAUUAUCUGUUACCGCCCCAGUCUGAUGUUUGGUGACUGACUGGUAUCUUCUGAGGUUCU
Molecule: small nucleolar RNA, 69 nt
Organism: Pseudophryne corroboree (corroboree frog)
Lineage: Eukaryota; Metazoa; Chordata; Amphibia; Anura; Myobatrachidae
Source: RefSeq, a predicted model, not a curated record